Molecule: ribosomal RNA, 2094 nt
Filed under: human gut metagenome
Description: bacterial LSU rRNA
Rfam family: Bacterial large subunit ribosomal RNA
Source: RNAcentral
UCAAGCAGAAAGGGCACAGGGCGGAUGCCUUGGCACUAAGGGCCGAAGAAAGACGUGAUAAGCUGCGAUAAGCUUCGGGGAGGAGCAAAUAUCCAUUGAUCCGGAGAUCUCUGAAUGGGGAAACCCACAUGAGCAAACCUCAUGUAUCCAUACGCCAAUCCAUAACGUAUGGAGGGGAACCCGGGGAACUGAAACAUCUAAGUACCCGGAGGAAAAGAAAGAAAACUCGAUUCCGUAAGUAGCGGCGAGCGAACGCGGAAGAGCCUAAACCAGGUCGCGUGCGAUCUGGAGUUACGGACUGCAUUUAAGAUUCUGUGAUGUUAGUAGAACGGUUUUGGGAAAGCCGGCCAGAGAGGGUGAAAGCCCCGUACACGAAAACAGAGCAGACUGAGCAGGAUCCAGAGUACCGCGGGACACGAGAAACCCUGCGGGAAUUCAGGGGGACCACCCCCUAAGGCUAAAUACCACUUAGUGACCGAUAGCGCAUAGUACUGUGAAGGAAAGGUGAAAAGGACCCCGGGAGGGGAGUGAAAGAGAACCUGAAACCCUGUGUCUACAAGCUGUGGGAGUGCCCUAUAUGCACGACCGCGUACUUUUUGUAGAACGGUCCGGCGAGUUGCGCACACUGGCAAGGUUAAGGACUCAAGGUCCGGAGCCGUAGGGAAACCAAGUCUUAAUAGGGCCAGAGUCAGUGUGGGCAGACCCGAAACCGGGUGAUCUAUCCAUGUCCAGGUUGAAGCUGCCGUAAGAGGCAGUGGAGGACCGAACCCACAUCCGUUGAAAAGGGUGGGGAUGAGGUGUGGAUAGGGGAGAAAUUCCAAUCGAACCCGGAGAUAGCUGGUUCUCCUCGAAAUAGCUUUAGGGCUAGCCUUGGUAGAGAUUUGCGGAGGUAGAGCACUGAAUUUCCUAGGGGGCGUCAAAGCCUACCGAAGAAUAUCAAACUCCGAAUGCCGCGUAAUUGCUUACCGGGAGUCAGACUGCACGAGAUAAGUUGGGCAGUCAAAAGGGAAAGAGCCCAGACCUUCAGUUAAGGUCCCAAAGUGUACGUUAAGUGGAAAAGGAUGUGGGAUUUCGAAGACAACCAGGAUGUUGGCUCAGAAGCAGCCAUUCAUUCAAAGAGUGCGUAAUAGCUCACUGGUCGAGAGGUCCUGCGCCGAAAAUGUCCGGGGCUGAAACGUACCACCGAAACUAAGGAAUCCAGUAAUGGAUUGGUAGAGGAGCAUUGCAUGCGGGAAGAAGCAGUACCGUAAGGAGCUGUGGACUGCAUGGAAGAGAGAAUGCCGGAAUGAGUAGCGAGAUAGAGGUGAGAAUCCUCUAGGCCGAAUAUCCAAGGUUUCCAGGGUAAAGCUGAUCUGCCCUGGGUAAGUCGGGGCCUAAGGUGAGGACGAGAGUCGUAGCCGAUGGACAACAGGUGGAGAUUCCUGUACUAUGAUAUGACAGAACUGUGGGGACACGUGCAGAGAGCGGAAGCCGGGAACGGUAUCCCGGUGCAAGCGAGGUACCAGAUGCGUUGGAAAAACCGCGUAUCAAUGGGAAGACGUGAUGCGGAGUGAAGUUUAGUAAUGAAGUCCGUGAGCUGUGCGUCAAGAAAAGCCGCUAUUGUUCAUACCAUACCCGUACCGUAAACCGACACAGGUGGAUGAGGAGAGAAUCCUAAGGCCGGCGGAAGAAGCAUUGUCAAGGAACUCGGCAAAAUGACCCCGUAACUUCGGGAGAAGGGGUGCCUGCGAGAGCAGGCCGCAGAGAAUAGGCUCAAGCAACUGUUUAGCAAAAACACAGGUCUAUGCGAAACCGUAAGGUGAGGUAUAUGGGCUGACGCCUGCCCGGUGCUGGAAGGUUAAGAGGAGAGGUUAGCGCAAGCGAAGCUUUGAAUUUAAGCCCCAGUAAACGGCGGCCGUAACUAUAACGGUCCUAAGGUAGCGAAAUUCCUUGUCGGGUAAGUUCCGACCCGCACGAAAGGCGUAAUGAUUUGAGCGCUGUCUCGACAAUGCAUCCGGUGAAAUUGAAGUACCAGUGAAGAUGCUGGUUACCUGCGCCAGGACGGAAAGACCCCAUGGAGCUUUACUCCAGUUUGGUACUGGGAUCCGGUACUGC